This 529-nucleotide unclassified non-coding RNA is filed under the name Hevea brasiliensis (rubber tree). Lineage: Eukaryota; Viridiplantae; Streptophyta; Magnoliopsida; Malpighiales; Euphorbiaceae. The record is from RNAcentral.
GGAAAGUUAAUCUUAUUAAUCAGGAAGGAUAGUUUUGACAACAUAAAAAAAUCAAACCACAAUCCACAUAAUAAUCCCCUGAAAGCAUUUUAACAAAUGCAAAAUGGCGAUGCCAUCCUUUGGAAAGAAAAAUCUAACGCAACCAGUGGAUGAAGUCUUUUUGAGAUGGAAUAAAAUGAGAAGUAGAAUUACUAUGCUCCAUGUCCCCUUCAACCAAAAAUAGUCCUCAGUGAUGCUUCACCUCAAAGAGCCCAUCAGGACCCCAUGGGAACUCUUUAUUGCGUAUGUGCAGAUACGGAUAUGCAGGGGGCUCUUCAUGGUGGGGGUGGCCCUUUGAUAGAUUAUAGAAUGCUAAAAUAGUGCAGGUUGCAAUGCCUGCAUAAGUAAUCUUCUCCCACUUUGCCGUUUCACGAGCAUCAUCGUGAGCAGAGGAAGCAAAGCCGCGCUUAGGCUGAACGGAGUUUCGAGAGGCACCGCGGACGGCGGCGCGAAGAAGAUUAGAUCGGAUCGACGCCAUUGCCAUUUUCUC